CCUUCUCAUGUAGUAGGGUCAUGUACCAUGGUACCUUCCACCCUGUGUUCUCAGCCAUGGUGGUACUGGUGAAGUUAGACUUGUUCUGAUGUCCCUCUCUAGCUGCUCCGGGGUCAUCGCCAUGUAAAGUCCAAAGACGAAAAAUAACCCUGAAGGAAGGAGAGAUGACUAGAAAGAAUCCGGUUGACCGCUUUAUGUGUGGAUUAAUUGUUGGAGUAGAGGACCUUGUGCAUUUCAGGUAAAAUAACAACUCAAUGUUUAUAUCCCAGGACAAAUAAGCUAGCUAAAUUGCCAUAAAUGUUUAAUGCUUUUCGACCUGUCCCCAAAUUAAUAUAAUUGGUUGAGAGUUUGUUUUGAUAUUUCGUGUCAUGAUCGCGUUUGGAGUGAGGGGACAAAAUCAAUUUGCGCACGAUGGCGGAUGCACUCGCGCGUCUGGUUUGGGCAUGGUGUAAUGGUUGUUUAAAUCUAAAAUUAGCUUGACGCGUUUUCGGUUAUCCUACAGACUCAGCGCAUUGCUACAUGGUACUUGAAGGAGAAUUGGAGGUUAAUAAUUUAUUACACUGUUUAGAUUGAGCACAUUUAAACGAAAGCUAAACUUCGUCAUGACGAUAUAAACGGAUGGAUGUGUUCCAGAUGAGGAAGGCCAUCUAUUGGCUGAUUUGGCGGCCUGGAGUGUAGGUCAUUGUUUUAUGAAAUGUGAUCCCAUAUCUCCAGUGACAAUAAUUAUGUAGCUAUGAAGUGUUCUCACACGAUUUCCUGAUUUUCACAACUUGGAAGUUACAUCAUGGGGAAAUGUUGUAUUUUACCCACUGAUAGAACAUAAACAUUCACCAAAUAAACAGGAGUUAUGUUUUUUAUUUCUGGGGGUGGAUUAUCCCUUUAAACUGUAUAGUGGUUAAUCAGUAGCCUUGCCUCAACCUAGUCAAAAUGCGAACCAAGGCAGGGUAAAAGAUGCAUUAUUUGUGUAUGUAGAAAUAAGUAACAAACAAGGACAUAUUUUAAUCUUGAUGAAUGACUAUUUGUAAUUUUACGACAAGCUAAGAUGUUCUUUCCCUUUAGUUUACAAUGUCUGUUCUGCCUCUAGUGACUCAGCUGCCUUCUGAUGUUUAUUAAGUCUGCUAAACUCACUCCAAUUUUCACUGUUAUUGAAAUAUGAAAAACUAUGGCCUUGUCAUUAUUAAUUCAUGUUUGCUUGUUGGUAACUUAGACAGGCAAGGGCCUCCAAGUGGCGCAGCGUCUAAAAAUGCUGACCAGACCGCACGCGCGCAUCUGAGUGCACCAUCGCCCGCAUGUUGAUUUUGUCCCCCCACACCAGAGAUCAGGACAGCAGGUUGAUUUUGUCCCCCCACACCAGAGAUCAAAACACACAGGUUGAUUUUGUCCCCCCACACCAGAGAUCAGGACAGCAGGUUGAUUUUGUCCCCCCACACCAGAGAUCAGGACAGCAGGUUGAUUUUGUCCCCCCACACCAGAGAUCAAAACACGCAGGUUGAUUUUGUCCCCCCACACCAGAGAUCAGGACAGCAGGUUGAUUUUGUCCCCCCACACCAGAGAUCAGAACACGCAGGUUGAUUUUGUCCCCCCACACCAGAGAUCAGGACAGCAGGUUGAUUUUGUCCCCCCCACACCAGAGAUCAAAACACACAGGUUGAUUUUGUCCCCCCACACCAGAGAUCAGAACACGCAGGUUGAUUUUGU
This 1698-nucleotide long non-coding RNA is filed under the name Salmo salar (Atlantic salmon). Its description in RNAcentral is "lncRNA (ENSSSAG00000084305.1, ENSSSAG00000096360.1)". Lineage: Eukaryota; Metazoa; Chordata; Actinopteri; Salmoniformes; Salmonidae. The record is from RNAcentral.